RNAcentral lists this ribosomal RNA (558 nucleotides) under uncultured Cercozoa. Its description in RNAcentral is "bacterial SSU rRNA". It matches the Rfam family "Eukaryotic small subunit ribosomal RNA", at positions 4 to 565 of the family's 1831-position model. The record is from RNAcentral. Lineage: Eukaryota; Cercozoa.
CUGGUUGAUCCUGCCAGUAGUCAUAUGCUUGUCUCAAAGAUUAAGCCAUGCAAGUCUAAGUAUAAGCAUUUAUACUGUGAAACUGCGGAAAGCUCAUUACAUCAGUUAUAGUUUAUUUGAUGGUAAACCCACUACAUGGAUAACCGUAGUAAUUCUAGAGCUGAUACAUGCCCAGAAACGGUGACUUCGGAAGCCGUGGACUUAUUAGAUCAAGAGCCAACCCUCUUCGGAGGACUAAGCUGAAUCAUAGUAAUUUUGUUAAUCGCAUGGUCUUGUACCGGCGAUGGGUCAUUCAAAUUUCUGCCCUAUCAGCUGUGAUGUUAGUGUAGUGGACUAACAUGGCAUAAACGGGUGACGGAGGAUUAGGGUCUGAUUCCGGAGAGGGAGCCUGAGAAAUGGCUACCACUUCCAAGGAAGGCAGCAGGCGCGUAAAUUACCCAAUCCCGACACGGGGAGGUAGUGACAAGAAAUAACAAUACCGGAUCUUUUUAGAUCUGGUAAUUGGAAUGAGUACAACUUAAAAUCCUUAACAAGGAACAAUUGGAGGGCAAGUCUGGU